UGCAGUCGAACGGUAAGGCCCUUCGGGGUACACGAGUGGCGAACGGGUGAGUAACACGUGGGUGAUCUGCCCUGCACUCUGGGAUAAGCCUGGGAAACUGGGUCUAAUACCGGAUAGGAGCUCCUGUCGCAUGGCGGGGGUUGGAAAGGUUUACUGGUGCAGGAUGGGCCCGCGGCCUAUCAGCUUGUUGGUGGGGUAAUGGCCUACCAAGGCGACGACGGGUAGCCGGCCUGAGAGGGCGACCGGCCACACUGGGACUGAGACACGGCCCAGACUCAUACGGGAGGCAGCAGUGGGGAAUAUUGCACAAUGGGCGAAAGCCUGAUGCAGCGACGCCGCGUGAGGGAUGACGGCCUUCGGGUUGUAAACCUCUUUCAGCAGGGACGAAGCGAGAGUGACGGUACCUGCAGAAGAAGCACCGGCCAACUACGUGCCAGCAGCCGCGGUAAUACGUAGGGUGCGAGCGUUGUCCGGAAUUACUGGGCGUAAAGAGCUCGUAGGCGGUUUGUCGCGUCGUCCGUGAAAACUUGGGGCUCAACCCCAAGCUUGCGGGCGAUACGGGCAGACUUGAGUACUGCAGGGGAGACUGGAAUUCCUGGUGUAGCGGUGAAAUGCGCAGAUAUCAGGAGGAACACCGGUGGCGAAGGCGGGUCUCUGGGCAGUAACUGACGCUGAGGAGCGAAAGCGUGGGUAGCGAACAGGAUUAGAUACCCUGGUAGUCCACGCCGUAAACGGUGGGCGCUAGGUGUGGGUUUCCUUCCACGGGAUCCGUGCCGUAGCUAACGCAUUAAGCGCCCCGCCUGGGGAGUACGGCCGCAAGGCUAAAACUCAAAGGAAUUGACGGGGGCCCGCACAAGCGGCGGAGCAUGUGGAUUAAUUCGAUGCAACGCGAAGAACCUUACCUGGGUUUGACAUAUACCGGAAAGCUGUAGAGAUACGGCCCCCCUUGUGGUCGGUAUACAGGUGGUGCAUGGCUGUCGUCAGCUCGUGUCGUGAGAUGUUGGGUUAAGUCCCGCAACGAGCGCAACCCUUGUCCUGUGUUGCCAGCGCGUAAUGGCGGGGACUCGCAGGAGACUGCCGGGGUCAACUCGGAGGAAGGUGGGGACGACGUCAAGUCAUCAUGCCCCUUAUGUCCAGGGCUUCACACAUGCUACAAUGGCCGGUACAGAGGGCUGCGAUACCGUGAGGUGGAGCGAAUCCCUUAAAGCCGGUCUCAGUUCGGAUCGGGGUCUGCAACUCGACCCCGUGAAGUCGGAGUCGCUAGUAAUCGCAGAUCAGCAACGCUGCGGUGAAUACGUUCCCGGGCCUUGUACACACCGCCCGUCACGUCAUGAAAGUCGGUAACACCCGAAGCCGGUGGCCUAACCCCUCGGGGAGGAGCCGU
RNAcentral lists this ribosomal RNA (1384 nucleotides) under uncultured bacterium. RNAcentral's name for it is "bacterial SSU rRNA". It matches the Rfam family "Bacterial small subunit ribosomal RNA". The record is from RNAcentral.